GGCCGGGGGCCCCCGGGGGCCGCGGCGGGGGUCUGCGGCCGCUCCGGCUUACCUUCCUCUGCCGACUUCAUGGUGCCGCCGGCGGGCGCAGAGGGCCCCAAAGUUUCUCCGCUCCCGCAGACUGCAGCCGGAGGGCCGAGUGGAAACUUGGAAGGGACUGGAAAACUGACCCUGCUGCUUCUCCUCGGCGCGGCUCAGCGGCCAAAACGGGACCGUAGUUUCGUGUUGGCCUUGGAGGGAAGGGACUGGAGUGUUUGUUCGGGCGGUUAAAAUGUCUGGUGUAUAAAAAUAAUAAAUCUAUUGCACGACA
Molecule: long non-coding RNA, 310 nt
Organism: Lagenorhynchus albirostris (white-beaked dolphin)
Lineage: Eukaryota; Metazoa; Chordata; Mammalia; Artiodactyla; Delphinidae
Exons: 2
Source: RefSeq, a predicted model, not a curated record